GACGAACGCUGGCGGCGUGCUUAACACAUGCAAGUCGAACGGUAAGGCCCUUCGGGGUACACGAGUGGCGAACGGGUGAGUAACACGUGGGUGAUCUGCCCUGCACUUCGGGAUAAGCCUGGGAAACUGGGUCUAAUACCGGAUAGGACCACUGCCUACAUGGGUGGUGGUGGAAAGCUUUUGCGGUGUGGGAUGGGCCCGCGGCCUAUCAGCUUGUUGGUGGGGUGAUGGCCUACCAAGGCGACGACGGGUAGCCGGCCUGAGAGGGUGACCGGCCACACUGGGACUGAGAUACGGCCCAGACUCCUACAGGAGGCAGCAGUGGGGAAUAUUGCACAAUGGGCGCAAGCCUGAUGCAGCGACGCCGCGUGAGGGAUGACGGCCUUCGUGUUGUAAACCUCUUUCAGCACCGACGAAGCGCAAGUGACGGUAGGUGCAGAAGAAGGACCGGCCAACUACGUGCCAGCCGCCGCAGUAA
Molecule: ribosomal RNA, 478 nt
Filed under: uncultured bacterium
Lineage: Bacteria
Description: partial 16S ribosomal RNA
Rfam family: Bacterial small subunit ribosomal RNA
Source: RNAcentral